UAAAAUUUUAAUAUUGAUUGUUACUCAAUAAUUUAUAUUUUAAUUGUUGUUUUUAU
RNAcentral lists this transfer RNA (56 nucleotides) under Philodina citrina. Its description in RNAcentral is "transfer RNA-Asn(N)". The record is from RNAcentral. Lineage: Eukaryota; Metazoa; Rotifera; Eurotatoria; Philodinida; Philodinidae.